Molecule: ribosomal RNA, 465 nt
Filed under: uncultured bacterium
Lineage: Bacteria
Description: partial 16S ribosomal RNA
Rfam family: Bacterial small subunit ribosomal RNA
Source: RNAcentral
GAUGAACGCUGGCGGCGUGCUUAACACAUGCAAGUCGAACGGAAAGGCUCCUGCUUGCAGGGGUACUCGAGUGGCGAACGGGUGAGUAACACGUGGGUGAUCUGCCCUGCACUUCGGGAUAAGCCUGGGAAACUGGGUCUAAUACCGGAUAGGACGAUGGUUUGGAUGCCAUUGUGGAAAGUUUUUCGGUGUGGGAUGAGCUCGCGGCCUAUCAGCUGGUUGGUGGGGUAAUGGCCUACCAAGGCGUCGACGGGUAGCCGGCCUGAGAGGGUGUACGGCCACAUUGGGACUGAGAUACGGCCCAGACUCCUACGGGAGGCAGCAGUGGGGAAUAUUGCACAAUGGGCGCAAGCCUGAUGCAGCGGCGCCGCGUGGGGGAUGACGGCCUUCGGGUUGUAAACACCUUUCGCUAGGGACGAAGCGCAAGUGACGGUACCUGGAGAAGAAGCACCGGCUAACUACGUG